GUAGGGAAUCUUCCGCAAUGGACGAAAGUCUGACGGAGCAACGCCGCGUGAGUGAUGAAGGUCUUCGGAUCGUAAAACUCUGUUAUUAGGGAAGAAUAAGCAUCAACCGAAUAAGUUGGUGCCUUGACGGUACCUAAUCAGAAAGCCCCGGCUAACUACGUGCCAGCAGCCGCGGUAAUACGUAGGGGGCAAGCGUUGUCCGGAAUUAUUGGGCGUAAAGGGCUCGCAGGCGGUUUCUUAAGUCUGAUGUGAAAUCUUGUGGCUUAACCACAAGCGGUCAUUGGAAACUGGGAGACUUGAGUGCAGAAGAGGAGAGUGGAAUUCCACGUGUAGCGGUGAAAUGCGUAGAGAUGUGGAGGAACACCAGUGGCGAAGGCGACUCUCUGGUCUGUAACUGACGCUGAGGAGCGAAAGCGUGGGGAGCGAACAGGAUUAGAAACCCCUGUAGUCC
This 451-nucleotide ribosomal RNA is filed under the name uncultured bacterium. RNAcentral describes it as "bacterial SSU rRNA". It matches the Rfam family "Bacterial small subunit ribosomal RNA", at positions 354 to 796 of the family's 1533-position model. The record is from RNAcentral.